AUGCAUAUACACAGACAGGCACGUGCACACAAACACACGAACACAUGGGCACGCAGGUCCAAACAUGCAUAUACACAGAUAGGCACGUGCACACACACACACACAAACACAUGGGCACACAGGUCCAAACGUGCAUAUACACAGACAGGCAUGUGCACACACACACACACACAAACACAUGAGCACACAGGUCCAAACGUGCAUAUACACAGACAGGCACGUGCACACACACACACCCACAAACACAUGGGCACACAGGUCCAAACACAUGCAUAUACACAGACAGGCACGUGCACACACACACAGACAAACACAUGGGCACGCAGGUCCAAACACAUGCAUAUACACAGACAGGCACGUGCACACACACACACAAAAAAAGACAUGGGCACGCAGGUCCAAACACAUGCAUAUACACAGACAGGCACGUGCACACACACACACAAAAAGACAUGGGCACGCAGGUCCAAACACAUGCAUAUACACAGACAGGCACGUGCACACACACACACACACAAACACAUGGGCACGCAGGUCCAAACACAUGCAUAUACACAGACAGGCAGGUGCACACACACACACACAAAAAGACAUGGGCACGCAGGUCCAAACACAUGCAUAUACACAGACAGGCAGGUGCACACACACACACAAAAAGACAUGGGCACGCAGGUCCAAACACAUGCAUAUACACAGACAGGCACGUGCACACACACACACAAACACAUGGGCACACAGGUCCAAACGUGCAUAUACACAGAUAGGCACAUGCACACACACACAAACACAUGGGCACACAGGUCCAAACGUGCAUAUACACAGAUAGGCACGUGCACACACACACACAAACACAUGGGCACACAGGUCCAAACGUGCAUAUACACAGAUAGGCACGUGCACGCACACACACACAAACACAUGGGCACACAGGUCCAAACGUGCAUAUACACAGAUAGGCACGUGCACACACACACACAAACACAUGGGCACACAGGUCCAAACGUGCAUAUACACAGAUAG
This 1020-nucleotide long non-coding RNA is filed under the name Callithrix jacchus (white-tufted-ear marmoset). RNAcentral's name for it is "lncRNA (ENSCJAG00000071398.1)". Lineage: Eukaryota; Metazoa; Chordata; Mammalia; Primates; Cebidae. The record is from RNAcentral.